UGGGGAAUAUUGCACAAUGGGGGAAACCCUGAUGCAGCGACGCCGCGUGAACGAAGAAGGUAUUCGUAUCGUAAAGUUCUGUCCUAUGGGAAGAUAAUGACAGUACCAUAGAAGAAAGCUCCGGCUAAAUACGUGCCAGCAGCCGCGGUAAUACGUAUGGAGCGAGCGUUGUCUGGAAUUAUUGGGCGUAAAGGGUACGCAGGCGGUUUAAUAAGUCGAAUGUUAAAGAUCGGGGCUCAACCCCGUAAAGCAUUGGAAACUGAUAAACUUUAGUAGUGGAGAGGAAAGUGAAUUCCUCGUGUAGUGGUGAAAUACGUAGAUAUUAGGAGGAAUACCAGAAGCGAAAGCGACGUUCUGGACACAAGCUGACGCUGAGGUACGAAAGCGUGGGGGGCAAACAGG
This 402-nucleotide ribosomal RNA is filed under the name bacterium. RNAcentral describes it as "partial 16S ribosomal RNA". It matches the Rfam family "Bacterial small subunit ribosomal RNA", at positions 355 to 776 of the family's 1533-position model. The record is from RNAcentral.